CCCUAUAUGAAUGAACAUUUGCUCAAACUAGUGUCCUGUGAAAUUACAGACGGCCCAGUGUUGAAGCCCAUUAUAUUAAAGAUUAGAUGUGCCAAACUGGUUUUGUAAUACCUUCAUUAAAUUAAAUAAAGUUUAUUAUUGUUACUAUUAUUAGUGUUAUAUGACGGAGAGAGUGAGACCUAAGCGCGCACGCUUCGAGCACUGAACCGUUUGACUUAUAAAUCGAACACAAUGUAUCGAGUAAACCUGCUGAAAAACCUAUAAACGACAACGCAUUUUAUGAAUACGAUUGACAACAAUAAUGGCCAAGCAUGAAUCAUAACUUUGAUCCUCUUGUCGUUUGUAUUCUGAUGCCAUAGUGUAGAUCAAGUAACUAUACGG
Molecule: non-coding RNA, 381 nt
Organism: Paramuricea clavata
Lineage: Eukaryota; Metazoa; Cnidaria; Anthozoa; Malacalcyonacea; Plexauridae
Source: the annotation of a GenBank genome assembly